This 253-nucleotide ribosomal RNA is filed under the name uncultured bacterium. Its description in RNAcentral is "partial 16S ribosomal RNA". It matches the Rfam family "Bacterial small subunit ribosomal RNA", at positions 524 to 776 of the family's 1533-position model. The record is from RNAcentral.
GACAGAGGUGCCGAGCGUUAGGCGGAAUCACUGGGCUUAAAGCGUGUGUAGGCGGGCCGUUAAGUAUCUUGUGAAAUCCCCCGGCUCAACCGGGGAAUGGCUGGGUAUACUGGCGGUCUUGAGCAGUCUAGGGGCAGAUGGAACAGACGGUGGAGCGGUGAAAUGCGUAGAUAUCGUCUGGAACGCCAAAGGUGAAGACAGUCUGCUGGGGACUUGCUGACGCUGAGACACGAAAGCCAGGGGAGCGAACGGG